Molecule: long non-coding RNA, 260 nt
Organism: Pogona vitticeps (central bearded dragon)
Lineage: Eukaryota; Metazoa; Chordata; Lepidosauria; Squamata; Agamidae
Source: RefSeq, a predicted model, not a curated record
GCUGGGUUGAGACUGGAAGGCACAGAAUUAUGAUAACUUCAGACCCCUCUAAAGGAGUGACUGCACAGGGAAGUUAAAGCCAGGAUUACAGUUAUAAAGUUGUGGAAUUAAGUCUUUCCCAAGAUUGUAAACCACAUGCAGUGACAAAAGUACCAAAUACCCAUCUGAACACGAUGUGGCAGCUAUGAUAGAAUAUGCAUUCGCUCGUUCGUUCGUUUAGUCGUGUCCGACUCUUCGUGACCCCAUGGACCAGAGCACGC